GUCCACAGUACACGGAUGCCCCACUCACACUAUCAUUUUCUAUGUUUAAAGGACUGUGAUUGGAAUAAAUUCUCUAAUUUGGCAUUAAAAUUAGAAUGAUCUUAUCAAAGGGAACAUGUAACUAAGUUUCAAGUUGAUUGGACUUCUACUUUAUCAAAAACUACGUUGACCAAAAACUUUAACCUGAAAUUUGCACUAUCAUUUUCUAUGUUCAGUGAACCGUAAAAUUGGGGUCAAAACUCUAAUUUGGCAUUUUAA
RNAcentral lists this long non-coding RNA (258 nucleotides) under Mytilus galloprovincialis (Mediterranean mussel). Lineage: Eukaryota; Metazoa; Mollusca; Bivalvia; Mytilida; Mytilidae. The record is from RNAcentral.